Molecule: ribosomal RNA, 497 nt
Filed under: uncultured bacterium
Lineage: Bacteria
Description: partial 16S ribosomal RNA
Rfam family: Bacterial small subunit ribosomal RNA
Source: RNAcentral
GAUGAACGCUGGCGGCGUGCCUAAUACAUGCAAGUCGAGCGAACGGACGAGAAGCUUGCUUCUCUGAUGUUAGCGGCGGACGGGUGAGUAACACGUGGAUAACCUACCUAUAAGACUGGGAUAACUUCGGGAAACCGUAGCUAAUACCGGAUAAUAUUUUGAACCGCAUGGUUCAAAAGUGAAAGACGGUCUUGCUGUCACUUAUAGAUGGAUCCGCGCUGCAUUAGCUAGUUGGUAAGGUAACGGCUUACCAAGGCAACGAUGCAUAGCCGACCUGAGAGGGUGAUCGGCCACACUGGAACUGAGACACGCUCCAGACUCCUACGGGAGGCAGCAGUAGGGAAUGUUCCGCAAUGGGCGAAAGCCUGACGGAGCAACGACGCGUGAGUGAUGAAGGUCUUCGGAUCGUAAAACUCUGUUAUUAGUGAAGAACAUAUGUGUAAGUAACUGUGCACAUCUUGACGGUACCUAAUCAGAAAGCCACGGCUAACUACGUG